Molecule: small nuclear RNA, 104 nt
Organism: Mustela putorius furo (domestic ferret)
Lineage: Eukaryota; Metazoa; Chordata; Mammalia; Carnivora; Mustelidae
Source: Ensembl
GUGCUUGCUUCGGCAGCACAAAUACUCAAAUUGGAAAGAUACAGAGAUCAUCAUGGCCCCUGAGCAGGGAUUCCACACAAAUUCGAAAUGCCUUGGGUAAAUCA